This is a long non-coding RNA of Sarcophilus harrisii (Tasmanian devil), 762 nucleotides long. RefSeq lists it as uncharacterized. The record is from RefSeq and is a predicted model, not a curated record. The transcript is spliced from 5 exons. Lineage: Eukaryota; Metazoa; Chordata; Mammalia; Dasyuromorphia; Dasyuridae.
AGAUAGUGGAGUUAGGACUGGGGGUGGGGCGGGGAAAGCAAGGCAACUGGAGAGCCCGAGGAUUACGGGAGGAAGAGGCCGUAAGCAAAUCAUCAUCACCCUUCAAUACACAACCUGAACAUGGCCAGAUGAUACCUCCUGCUGUACCUCCACCCUUUACAUUUUUUCCCACAAAACCUCACUGGGAGGGUGGCUUAGAAACCAUGGCACACCAUCAUCCUGGAAAACCGAAUGUGAAUGAGAUGGAACCGACACCUGAUUUCUAUAGGGAUGGAACUUCAGACAAUUCCAGAAUAGAAUCCCCUGGGGCUCCUUAAUCCUGACAACUCCAGAGGGAGCUCAGAAUCAGGCCAGCCUCUGAAGAGAGCUACCUCAUAAUGAAAUAAAAAUGCCCCCCCACAAAAAAAAGCACAUCUGGGAAAGCUCGUCUCUAAAUAGAAAAGCUCCAAUGGGCUGAGUUUCUCUUCAAAUUCGCAAAAAGAUACCAUGGAAUAACAAUAAAAGCCUCAGAGCCAGGAGGACCCAGGAACAAAAUAACUAAUGUGGAAGUUAAGACCCAGAGACAUUGACUUGCACAAGACCGAAAGCAUCAGAGCCAAGCUGUGAAUGCAGGUACUGAACUCAAAAUCAGAUUUCUUUCUUCAGAGGUUACUGCAUUCAUGUCCUCCCCAACACUCUUCUUGGCUGCUGCAAUCAAUUUCCCCACAACUGCAGAAAAACACUACUCAUUCUAUUCACCCAGAAAUAAAUACAGUACCUUUA